This 352-nucleotide unclassified non-coding RNA is filed under the name soil metagenome. RNAcentral's name for it is "partial contains 5.8S ribosomal RNA, internal transcribed spacer 2, and large subunit ribosomal RNA". The stretch from base 1 to 120 matches the Rfam family "5.8S ribosomal RNA", at positions 35 to 154 of the family's 154-position model. The record is from RNAcentral.
GAUGAAGAACGCAGCGAAAUGCGAAAAGUAAUGUGAAUUGCAGAAUUCAGUGAAUCAUCGAAUCUUUGAACGCACAUUGCGCCCGCUGGUACUCCGGCGGGCACGCCUGUCCGAGCGUCAUUUCAACCCUCAAGCCAUCCUUCGGGAUGGGCCUGGUGUUGGGGCUCGGCCGCCAUCUCCGGCGGCCGUCCCCUAAAUACAGUGGCGGUCACGUCGCGACUCCUUUGCGUAGUAGAAACACCUCGCUCCGGAUAGCAACGCGGUCCACGCCGUAAAACCCCCAAUUUUCAAUGGUUGACCUCGGAUCAGGUGGGAAUACCCGCUGAACUUAAGCAUAUCAAUAAGCGGAGGA